CCCUGGUAGUCCACGCCGUAAACGAUGUCGAUUUGGAGGUUGUGCCCUUGAGGCGUGGCUUCCGGAGCUAACGCGUUAAAUCGACCGCCUGGGGAGUACGGCCGCAAGGUUAAAACUCAAAUGAAUUGACGGGGGCCCGCACAAGCGGUGGAGCAUGUGGUUUAAUUCGAUGCAACGCGAAGAACCUUACCUGGUCUUGACAUCCACAGAACUUUCCAGAGAUGGAUUGGUGCCUUCGGGAACUGUGAGAC
This 251-nucleotide ribosomal RNA is filed under the name Staphylococcus aureus. RNAcentral's name for it is "partial 16S ribosomal RNA". It matches the Rfam family "Bacterial small subunit ribosomal RNA", at positions 785 to 1035 of the family's 1533-position model. Lineage: Bacteria; Bacillati; Bacillota; Bacilli; Caryophanales; Staphylococcaceae. The record is from RNAcentral.